UUAGAGAGUUUGAUCCUGGCUCAGGGUGAACGCUGGCGGCGCGCUUAAUGCAUGCAAGUCGCGCGUGUCCGUGGCUUCGGCCACAUAUGGAAAAGCGGCAGACGGCUGAGUAACGCGUGAGUAACCUGCCCUCUGGUGGGGUAUAGCCACGAGAAAUCGUGAUUAAUCCCGCAUAAGAUCUCUUUACCUUGGUAUUGAGAUGAAAGCCUUCGGGCGCCGGAGGAGGGGCUCGCGUCCUAUCAGGUUGUUGGUGAGGUAAUGGCUCACCAAGCCUAUGACGGGUAGCUGGUCUGAGAGGACGACCAGCCAGAGGGGGACUGAGACACGGCCCCCACUCCUACGGGAGGCAGCAGCAGGGAAUCUUGGGCAAUGGGCGAAAGCCUGACCCAGCGACGUCGCGUGGGGGAUGAAGGCCUUUGGGCUGUAAACCCCUUUUCCAAGGGAAGAGGAAGGACGGUACCUUGGGAAUAAGCUCCGGCUAACUACGUGCCAGCAGCCGCGGUAAUACGUAGGGAGCGAGCGUUACCCGGAAUUACUGGGCGUAAAGUGCGCGUAGGCGGCUUGGUAAGUCUCUUGUGAAAGCUCCUGGCUUAACUGGGAGAGGUCAAGGGAAACUAUCUAGCUAGAGGGCAGCAGAGGAAAGCGGAAUUCUCGGUGUAGCGGUGAAAUGCGUAGAUAUCGAGAGGAACACCAGUGGCGAAGGCGGCUUUCUGGGCUGUACCUGACGCUGAGGCGCGAGAGCGUGGGGAGCAAACAGGAUUAGAUACCCUGGUAGUCCACGCCCUAAACGAUGA
Molecule: ribosomal RNA, 794 nt
Filed under: SAR202 cluster bacterium
Lineage: Bacteria; Bacillati; Chloroflexota; Dehalococcoidia
Description: bacterial SSU rRNA
Rfam family: Bacterial small subunit ribosomal RNA
Source: RNAcentral